This is a long non-coding RNA of Carassius auratus (goldfish), 1577 nucleotides long. RefSeq lists it as uncharacterized. The record is from RefSeq and is a predicted model, not a curated record. The transcript is spliced from 3 exons. NCBI's taxonomy places the organism in Eukaryota, Metazoa, Chordata, Actinopteri, Cypriniformes, Cyprinidae.
CUCACACACACGCGCGCCAAACACUCUCUCUCUCCUCCUCUGCCUCUCUCUCUCAGUCUGUCUCUCCCUCCCUCAGCUUCACUCGCUCUUGUGCUGUAAGUUCAUUCGCUGUGUCAAGCAACAACUGGCUCGGGAGUGGGCAGUGGGUUUUGAUCCUUUUGUCAAGCAUCCCCCCUGCAAGUGUGUACCGCGUCCACCUGCACACCGCGGGACUGGCCGCCUGGCUCUCUCUAACAUCGCCGUACCAUCCUGGGUUUAUCACGAUCCGGCAUCCCACCUUGCUGAGAUGGACGGCACAAUGAGAUGCUAAAGGUUUGACGGGGCGAACCUGCUACUUUGGACUAUCAUCAUCACCAUCAUCGGGAUCAUCGCAGUGGCAAUGGGAGUCAGGACAUGGAUGCUAGCCGGAGGAUCUCCGCAGGGUCCUUGCAUCCCAGACGAGCCGUUGAGAAGCCCUUGCCUUGCGCUACAAAGCAUCUUCAAUCAAUUGUUUUGAAAAGGCCUUUCCGUUUUCUGACGAUGCCGGCGGUUCUGUUGUUUCUCUCUGUAAAGGACUCUCUUCGGUGACGGGUAUUCUUGGGUGGAUAAUACGGCUCUCGUUGUUAUUGCUUAAGAAUACGCGUAGUCGAGGAGAGUCAUGUCGGCGGCAACUGCAAUGGACUAGAGAGAGCGUUGAAUCCAGAAGGCCCACCUGCCUGCACGCACACAUGCGUUUGCUAACGCCGAGGUUCACGCCCACAUCCAUUUAUUGAGUCAGUGAAGCUGCAUUUCCUGUUUGUGUGUGAUGCUUGUGCUGUUGAUUUAUCCGGCUACUCCUGCUUUUCAGCCAGCGCAAAGGAAAAACUGUGUUUUUUAUGAUUCGCCGUCCUCACUCCAAAGGCUGUGUAUUGUACCGUCCCGGGCUGGGUUGUAGAUGCAAAUGUGUUCCAUUUGUGUCAUAUAUUCUUUUUUCUCAGGACCGCACACACACUCUACCUUUUUAAUGCAAAUUGAUUUUGAAAUGACAUUUAUCGUGCAGGGGUUCCAUAUGGUACUAUGGGGGAUGGGAUGGAUGAAAAAAAAAAAAAGAAUGGAAUGUCCACGAUGCCACUGACAGCUAAAUUUAUGCAGAUUGUAAAGGAACACACUGCAGAUAAACAGUUACCACAGCUUUAGAUUGACCGCGGCGUGGCUUCCCGUGUAGGCACGCGUAUAUCAUGAAUAUGUAUUACGCGAGCAUAUGAUGCUGCAUUCUAACAUCCAUGAAAUCCAUUUAGGGAACCUAAUAGGAUCUACUUGACUUAUGAAAGCUUAUGAUCAAAUCUUAUAAAUAUACAUGAGAUAGUUUUAUGUGAAAAAAAAGGAUUCUUUUGCUUUUUUUAUAUAGAUGUAGUUUGCAUAAAAACGAAGAGACUGCAUUCGGACUGGCUGUUGAUGUAUUGACAUGGACGAUUUGCAAAUCUGCAAACAUUUGAAUUUGUUCUCCAUUAUCAUUCGGCACAUUUAAGUCAUGCAUUAGCAUUUGAGAUAGACUAAAGGCAACAAUCAGCCCGCUCUGUCCUUGAUCACUCUGUAAUUAUCAUUCUUUCGGCUGUGUG